GAAAACAGAGAGGAAGAAGAAGAGAAUGAGGAGGGGAAAAGAGAGAGGAAGAAGAGAAUGAGGAGGGGAAAAGAGAGAAGAAGAAGAGAGUGCGGAGGGGGAAAGAGAGAGGAAGAAGAAGAGAAUGAGGAGGGGAAAAGAGAGAGGAAGAAGAAGAGAAUGAGGAGGGGAAAAGAGAGAGGAAGAAGAAGAGAAUGAGGAGGGGAAAAGAGAGAGGAAGAAGACGAGAAUGAGGAGGGGAAAAGAGAGAGGAAGAAGACGAGAAUGAGGAGGGGAAAAGAGGGAGGAAGAAGAAGAGAAUGAGGAGGGGAAAAGAGAGAAGAGGAAGAGAAUGAGGAGGGGGUAAAGAGAGAGGAAGAAGAAGAGAAUGAGGAGGGGAAAAGAGAGAGGGGGAAGAAGAGAAUGAGGAGGGGAAAAGAGAGAGGACGAAGAAGAGAAUGAGGGGGGAAAAGAGAGGAAGAAGAAGAGAAUGAGGAGGGGAAAAGAGAGAGGGGGAAGAAGAGAAUGAGGAGGGGAAAAGAGAGAGGACGAAGAAGAGAAUGAGGGGGGAAAAGAGAGGAAGAAGAAGAGAAUGAGGAGGGGAAAAGAGAGAGGAAGUAGACGAGAAUGAGGAG
This is a long non-coding RNA of Oncorhynchus tshawytscha (Chinook salmon), 614 nucleotides long. NCBI's taxonomy places the organism in Eukaryota, Metazoa, Chordata, Actinopteri, Salmoniformes, Salmonidae. The record is from Ensembl.